AAAUAAAUUGAUUUUAAAAUUUGCACUAUUGCGAAAAUAUGCGAGUUUUUCCGAAAUCUAGAUCACCUCGACUCUUGCCUGCAAUGCGUAUUCCAAGUAUAUUCAUGAUCAAAACAAGUUACGUCCCUUUUCUGAAGUGAAAGUAGAAAUUCGUGAGCGGUGAUUUGGAUAUUUUGAGCUGGUUUAAGUCUUUAAAUCAACUAGAAUUUUACAUUUAAUAGUUAAGUGUUUGUCGGAGGCCGUUCUGCUCUCGAUGGGUAGCUUUCAAUGAUGAUGUAUCAGUGGAUUUACGCUGCGAUCAUGAUUACAACAGGGAGAACUUGUAUGCAAAAACUUUUGAGAAGAUUGGCCGAAAAAGAAACGCACAGUGUCCAAUGCUGUUGUCAUAACAAUUCAGAUCCCUCUGACAGUCAGGGGUGCAGAUUCAAGAUUGGAUGUUCUAAAUGAAAUUAAGACAGAAAUAUUUUCUGUGAGGAAUGUAUAAGACUUGGUAUCAACAUUAUGACAACACAGUUGUGGGUUAUUAAAAUUUAAGUGGAUCCAACAUGGCUGAAACUUGUUUAAAGAUUGCUCAACUGGAAUGUGUUAACUGAGAAAAUCACAGAGGCUGAAACUGUUGGAGAAUAUCUAACAACCUGUUUUUGAAUGUCUCAUCCCCUUUCAUGGAAGGAACUGUACUCAACUGAACAAUGCAACUGUACAUGUCCAUAGUUUACAGAAAAAUACUGAUAUACAUUGUAUAUGCAAAAACAAAUAUAGUGUGUUAGUCAUUGUUUACAAACUCAUUUUAGAUAAAGCUUGAACAUAUGAUUGAA
Molecule: long non-coding RNA, 815 nt
Organism: Ostrea edulis (European flat oyster)
Lineage: Eukaryota; Metazoa; Mollusca; Bivalvia; Ostreida; Ostreidae
Exons: 2
Source: RefSeq, a predicted model, not a curated record